UAAAUUAUCCAACGUUUUAUCCACUGCCUUAUCUAUUAUUUCCCCAGCCUUUUCCUUAAGAAGCAGCAAGAAUUCAUUGUCAUUCAUAUUCUGAACUCUCUCUUUCAGUGAAUCCUUUUGCUCCCUGUCUUGAUCAGCCUGUAUGUUGUCUGUACUGCUGUUUUCCUUCCCUUUAUAAUCAGUGUUGUUUUUCCUUCUUUUUGUUUCUCUAUUUAUCUUUGGAUCAUCCUGCAUAUGAUCCUCUUCACUAUCUUCUC
Molecule: long non-coding RNA, 257 nt
Filed under: Setaria viridis
Lineage: Eukaryota; Viridiplantae; Streptophyta; Magnoliopsida; Poales; Poaceae
Description: long non-coding RNA (SVIR_LNC005717)
Source: RNAcentral